CUCCAGCCUGGGUGACAGAGUGAGACUGUCUCCAGAAAAAAUCCCAAAACAAACAAACAAAACCCCUGAAUUUCCUUGUGGACACCUUUUCUCUGGCAGCCUUUUUGAAUGAGGGCUAUGUUUUCUCCAAUACUAUAUGGCCUGCGGACCGCUCAGCUUUCAUUCCAGUGAAAACAUUCCAGAACAAACUCCGGGUCAAUCCCAGGUGUUUUUCCAAUCAACUCGGGAUGAUUGUGUGUCACCUGCCGCCCAGCUAGAAUGACACCUCUCCAGGCCUCUGACUUAGCUAGAUCUCCACCAUGUGACUCCACCAUAGACUCCAUGCCUUCUUCUUUUGCAAACCCUCGGACACCCAAACACCUACCAAUUUCAGCCCUUUCUGUGCAGGUGCCGGAGCCCAGGAAGCACACAUCAAGGCUCGCUUGCCAGCAGGGUGCUGCCAAUAAAAUGUAGUCACAUGGAAUUUGGAAUGUGGAAAGGAGGUAGAAGUCAUCCUUUCUUCCCCCGUAGCAGCAGGCGUGCAGGCCUCUGGUGAUCAGCUGGACUCCAUACUCCCCCACCAGUCACCAGCCUGGGGACUGUGGGGCUGCAAGGACCUCAGCAGCGGUUUCCCAAGUUUUCUGACUUCUUCCAUCCUCUGGAAAUCAGCUGUGGCACACAUACAAGGACAUGGACAGGAGCAGAUCGGCAGAAGAAGACACAAGCAGCUGGACAUCAAGAGGGCGUGGAGGGGAGCACGCCAGGCAGGCCACCAACCGGCAGAACAGCAGAACGAGGCAGAGUUUGGCUGAGGCAGUGGGAGGACAGCCUGGGCUGCUCAGCAGCCCGGCUCCAGGGGAAAACCUUCCCACUCCACCCCCUUCUGGCUUUCCCCAUCUGCUGAGAGCUACCUUCACUCAAUAAAAUCUUGCACUCAUUCUCCAA
Molecule: long non-coding RNA, 924 nt
Organism: Homo sapiens (human)
Lineage: Eukaryota; Metazoa; Chordata; Mammalia; Primates; Hominidae
Exons: 2
Source: RefSeq, a predicted model, not a curated record